UGGGGAAUCUUGGACAAUGGGCGCAAGCCUGAUCCGGCCAUGCCGCGUGAGUGAUGAAGGCCUUAGGGUUGUAAAGCUCUUUUGCCGGGGACGAUAAUGACGGUACCCGGAGAAUAAGUCCCGGCUAACUUCGUGCCAGCAGCCGCGGUAAUACGAAGGGGACUAGCGUUGUUCGGAAUCACUGGGCAUAAAGCGCACGUAGGCGGCUAGGUCCGUCCAAUGUGAAAGCCCCCGGCUCAACCGGGGAAUUGCAUCGGAUACAGCCUGGCUUGAGGACGGUUGGGGUGAGUGGAACUCCUGGUGGAGCGGUGAAAUGCGUAGAUAUCAGGAGGAACACCGGUGGCGAAAGCGGCUCACUGGACCGUAACUGACGCUGAGGUGCGAAAGCUAGGGGAGCAAACGGGAUUAGAUACCCAGGUAGUCCCUGAGCGGGCUGGCAAGGCGCAU
RNAcentral lists this ribosomal RNA (447 nucleotides) under uncultured bacterium. RNAcentral describes it as "bacterial SSU rRNA". It matches the Rfam family "Bacterial small subunit ribosomal RNA", at positions 355 to 825 of the family's 1533-position model. The record is from RNAcentral.